UGUGGGAUGAUUGGAGCUGCACUGUGCAUCAUUUCUAUGGCAGACACUAACUGGUUUCGGAUUUUGCUGACAAUCCGAAUGCGUGGUGUACAUCGGCUCAGAUCUGCAAGUUUGGAGGACUUCCUACGGAUAAACACAUAUGCAUGUGUUAGAUCUUGUUUCCUUUCACCCAAAUACAUCAAGCUAACACGGAAGUAACACAAAUUGGGAGGAUUUUUACCUUCCGCAUCGUCACUUUUCAGCUUACUCUACCACGGCUCGGGACUCACAGAGGUUUGUUUGUUGUGGUUCUGGAAGGCUACGGAGACACCUCUUUGAGA
This 320-nucleotide long non-coding RNA is filed under the name Malus domestica (apple). RNAcentral's name for it is "long non-coding RNA (MDOM_LNC000437)". The record is from RNAcentral. Lineage: Eukaryota; Viridiplantae; Streptophyta; Magnoliopsida; Rosales; Rosaceae.